AGCUACAUUUACGUGUUCAACGAAUGUUCCUAAAAAUUAUAUUUGCAUUAUUGAGGUUGAAAUAUCAGUUUCUUGUAAUCGUAACUUGUUUAAAGAAGGGUGGAUACUCCAACUUGCAUUUUGUAAUGUGGUUCAAAUAUUUAUAACAAUGUAGCAUUUCACUACGAGGGUGUUAAAACGUAACAAAGACCUCCACCCUUCAAUCUAAAAUAGACCACUAAUAUUUGGAAAUGGAUUGGAAGCAAAUUGGAACAAUUUUUUGUGUAUAAAGAUGACAUAUUUUAUCAGAAAAACAGUCUUUCGUGUAAAAAACUUGU
Molecule: non-coding RNA, 317 nt
Organism: Hydra vulgaris (swiftwater hydra)
Lineage: Eukaryota; Metazoa; Cnidaria; Hydrozoa; Anthoathecata; Hydridae
Source: RefSeq, a predicted model, not a curated record